This 402-nucleotide ribosomal RNA is filed under the name uncultured prokaryote. RNAcentral describes it as "bacterial SSU rRNA". It matches the Rfam family "Bacterial small subunit ribosomal RNA", at positions 355 to 774 of the family's 1533-position model. The record is from RNAcentral.
UGGGGAAUAUUGGACAAUGGGCGCAAGCCUGAUCCAGCCAUGCCGCGUGAGUGAUGAAGGCCUUAGGGUUGUAAAGCUCUUUCACCGAUGAAGAUAAUGACGGUAGUCGGAGAAGAAGCCCCGGCUAACUUCGUGCCAGCAGCCGCGGUAAUACGAAGGGGGCUAGCGUUGUUCGGAAUUACUGGGCGUAAAGCGCACGUAGGCGGACAUCUAAGUCAGGGGUGAAAUCCCGAGGCUCAACCUCGGAACUGCCUUUGAUACUGGGUGUCUUGAGUUCGAGAGAGGUGAGUGGAAUUCCGAGUGUAGAGGUGAAAUUCGUAGAUAUUCGGAAGAACACCAGUGGCGAAGGCGGCUCACUGGCUCGAAACUGACGCUGAGGUGCGAAAGCGUGGGGAGCAAACA